CCUACGGGAGGCAGCAGUGGGGAAUAUUGGACAAUGGGGGCAACCCUGAAGCAGCGACGCCGCGUGAAGGAAGAAGGCCCUCGGGACGUAAAGCUCUAUCAGCAGGGAAGAAAAUUGAGUCACCUGAGGAUGAAUCCACUGCUAACAACGUGCAAGCAGCCGCGGUAAUACGAAGGGGGCAGGCGUCAUCCGGAAUGACUGGGUGUAAAGCGGGCGUAGGCGGCUGAACAAGACUGGAGUGAAAUCCCGGGGCUUAACCGCGGAACUGCUUUGGAAACUGUGGGGCUUGAGUGCGGGGGGGGUAGGCGGAAGUCGUGGUGUAGCGGUGAAAUGCGUAGAUAUUAGGAGGAACACCGGUGGCGAAGGCGGCCAACCGGACCGUAACUGACGCUGAGGCUCGAAAGCGUGGGGAGCAAACAGGAUUAGAUACCCGAGUAGUC
RNAcentral lists this ribosomal RNA (440 nucleotides) under uncultured bacterium. Its description in RNAcentral is "partial 16S ribosomal RNA". It matches the Rfam family "Bacterial small subunit ribosomal RNA", at positions 338 to 795 of the family's 1533-position model. The record is from RNAcentral.